Long non-coding RNA from Daphnia pulicaria, 334 nucleotides. RefSeq lists it as uncharacterized. The transcript is spliced from 3 exons. The record is from RefSeq and is a predicted model, not a curated record. Lineage: Eukaryota; Metazoa; Arthropoda; Branchiopoda; Diplostraca; Daphniidae.
UGAGGGCCUGCAAGAAAUUGUCGUCUUGUUAAGGCUCAACUGCAUCCUUUGAUUCAAGCCGAGUCUUCCGUUAUCGUCGAUGUCCUUUACCGACCGGAAUACCUUUUCCAGCCUGGCACGGAAGCACGGAAAAAGUGUGACAAUGGUGGAUUCAUUCGCAGGUUGAUUAAACACACUGAAUGAUUGCUGGAGGACAAGGAGGAAAAACUUUGCAUCCAAGUUCUCAACACCUUACGUCAGAUGAUGAAUUUCGAUGUUCACAAUGGCGAAAAGGGAGACGCAUUGAGGAAGAAUCUUUUAGUUCGCUACUUUGCCAAACCAACCUCGCAUAGUU